This 1183-nucleotide ribosomal RNA is filed under the name Rhytismatales sp. RNAcentral's name for it is "partial large subunit ribosomal RNA". It matches the Rfam family "Eukaryotic large subunit ribosomal RNA", at positions 77 to 1057 of the family's 3401-position model. Lineage: Eukaryota; Fungi; Ascomycota; Leotiomycetes; Rhytismatales. The record is from RNAcentral.
GCCUCAGUAACGGCGAGUGAAGCGGCAAAAGCUCAAAUUUGAAAUCUGGCUCUUUUAGGGUCCGAGUUGUAAUUUGUAGAAGAUGUUUCGGGUGUGGCUCCGGUUUAAGUUCUUUGGAAUAUUACAUCAUAGAGGGUGAGAAUCCCGUAUGUGACCGGCAGCCUUCGCCUAUGUGAAACUCUUUCGACGAGUCGAGUUGUUUGGGAAUGCAGCUCAAAAUGGGAGGUAUAUUUCUUCUAAAGCUAAAUAUUGGCCAGAGACCGAUAGCGCACAAGUAGAGUGAUCGAAAGAUGAAAAGCACUUUGGAAAGAGAGUUAAACAGUACGUGAAAUUGUUGAAAGGGAAGCGCUUGCAACCAGACUUGCACGCAGUUGAUCAUCCGGUGUUCUCACCGGGGCACUCUGCUGCGUUCAGGCCAGCAUCGGUUUUGGUGGUUGGAUAAAGGCCUUGGGAAUGUGGCUUCCUUCGGGGAGUGUUAUAGCCCUCGGUGCAAUGCAGCCUACCGGGACCGAGGACCGCGCUUCGGCUAGGAUGCUGGCGUAAUGGUUGUAAGCGACCCGUCUUGAAACACGGACCAAGGAGUCUAACAUCUAUGCGAGUGUUUGGGUGUUAAACCCAUACGCGUAAUGAAAGUGAACGGAGGUGAGAACCCUUAAGGGUGCAUCAUCGACCGGUCCUGAUGUCUUCGGAUGGAUCUGAGUAAGAGCAUAGCUGUUGGGACCCGAAAGAUGGUGAACUAUGCGUGAAUAGGGUGAAGCCAGAGGAAACUCUGGUGGAGGCUCGCAGCGGUUCUGACGUGCAAAUCGAUCGUCAAAUUUGCGCAUAGGGGCGAAAGACUUAUCGAACCAUUGAACACCUACUAGGUGGUUAAGAGGCCUUAGUACGGCCUAGUCCUCACCGAGGGCGACAUUGUCAAAUUGUUCGGGGACCUCCUGAUAACUCUCAGACUACCGCAGCCCGCCCGAAAGGGGGGUGCGCACCGGGCUAACGACCCUGGGGAUGGUAACAACGUCUGGGUAGGGAAGAUCCGCAGCCAAGUCCUACCGCCCUCCGGGGCCACGGAUGCAGUUCACAGACUUGAAGGCAGUGGGCUCCCCCGGGAGCUUAAGAUAAAGUCGAACCCCCCGGAGACGGGGUGGAGGGAGGAGAGUGCGUCGCACUCAGAGUCCUUCAGGGCCCACGA